Molecule: transfer RNA, 85 nt
Filed under: Methyloceanibacter methanicus
Lineage: Bacteria; Pseudomonadati; Pseudomonadota; Alphaproteobacteria; Hyphomicrobiales; Hyphomicrobiaceae
Rfam family: tRNA
About the family: Transfer RNA (tRNA) molecules are approximately 80 nucleotides in length. Their secondary structure includes four short double-helical elements and three loops (D, anti-codon, and T loops).
Source: Rfam by way of RNAcentral
GCGGACGUGGUGGAAUUGGUAGACACACAGGACUUAAAAUCCUGAGGCCGAACAGGCCGUGCGGGUUCGACUCCCGCCGUCCGCA